Transfer RNA from Puccinia sorghi, 104 nucleotides. It matches the Rfam family "tRNA". Rfam says of the family: Transfer RNA (tRNA) molecules are approximately 80 nucleotides in length. Their secondary structure includes four short double-helical elements and three loops (D, anti-codon, and T loops). Lineage: Eukaryota; Fungi; Basidiomycota; Pucciniomycetes; Pucciniales; Pucciniaceae. The record is from Rfam.
GACAACGUGGCCGAGCGGUUAAGGCGAUUGACUAGAAUAUCUAAGGCAUUGAGUCUACUAUCAAUUGGAGUUUCUCCGCGUAGGUUCAAAUCCUGCCGUUGUCG